CGGGAAUGAGGGCUCCGAAUGGCUGCAGCAGCACCGCUCUAAGACGUGCUAGUGAUUUCCUCGGGAGAGAGCAGAGCGAGAACGAGAGCAAGAGCGAGCGAACGAGCCCUUCAGUCCAUGACUCAGCAGACAAGCAGGCGCUGGUGGCAGCCUGGGAGAAAACGAAAGAUCAUUGCUCGAUCCUGAGGGGAAGACACCAUCAUCUCUCCGCGACCAGCAGACUGGGGACCGAGAGAGCGAGGGCUGCAGCUUUGGACUGCAGAGGGGAAAUUUUCCCCGUGCAGAUCUUGCACUUUUGAAAGCGAGACCCCGGGAAAGGACGAGAGGAAGAGGAGAAGACUUUAGCUCCGCGCCCCGUUUCGGUCCCUUCAGUCAGUUCAGAAAUCGCGUGUUUCGCGCGCUUUCUUUCCCUCGCAGAGGCGCUCGCUCACCGGGGUGAAAACCCAACUGCCGAGAGAGGCGUCAAACAAACGCAGCAGCUGGGACCUGCAGUCCGCUUGAACAGUAACUGCGCGCCUCCUCAAGGGCAGCCCGCUGAACUCGACGGUUUCCGAAUGCAAACGCCAAAGGGUUGUGCUGUUACUACUAUAGCAUCUCUACCCUUCAUCCAGUUUAAACUGUUCGAAACAGGACGUAUUUUGAUUCAGCAGGCGCUGUAGGGAGAAACCCGUGUGAGAUUAUGGUGGCAAAAAAAAAAA
Crotalus tigris (Tiger rattlesnake) is the source of this 698-nucleotide long non-coding RNA. RefSeq lists it as uncharacterized. The transcript has 2 exons. The record is from RefSeq and is a predicted model, not a curated record. NCBI's taxonomy places the organism in Eukaryota, Metazoa, Chordata, Lepidosauria, Squamata, Viperidae.